RNAcentral lists this ribosomal RNA (460 nucleotides) under uncultured bacterium. RNAcentral describes it as "partial 16S ribosomal RNA". It matches the Rfam family "Bacterial small subunit ribosomal RNA", at positions 338 to 795 of the family's 1533-position model. The record is from RNAcentral.
CCUACGGGCUGCAGCAGUGAGGAAUAUUGGUCAAUGGACGAGAGUCUGAACCAGCCAAGUAGCGUGAAGGAUGACUGCCCUAUGGGUUGUAAACUUCUUUUAUAUGGGAAUAAAACAGGGUAUGCAUACCCUCUCGUAUGUACCAUAUGAAUAAGGAUCGGCUAACCCCGGGCCAGCAGCCGCGGUAAUACGGAGGAUCCGAGCGUUAUCCGGAAUUAUUGGGUUUAAAGGGAGCGUAGGGGGAGUGUUAAGUCAGGUGGGAAAGUUUGCGGCUCAACCGUAAAAUUGCAGUUGAAACUGGCAGUCUUGAGUACAGUAGAGGUAGGCGGAAUUCGAGGUGUAGCGGUGAAAUGCUUAGAUAUCACGAAGAACUCCGAUGGCGAAGGCAGCUCACUGGACUGCAACUGACGCUGAGGCACGAAAGUGUGGGUAUCAAACAGGAUUAGAUACCCUUGUAGUC